Molecule: ribosomal RNA, 253 nt
Filed under: uncultured bacterium
Lineage: Bacteria
Description: partial 16S ribosomal RNA
Rfam family: Bacterial small subunit ribosomal RNA
Source: RNAcentral
UACGUAGGGACCGAGCGUUGUCCGGAAUUAUUGGGCGUAAAGAGCUCGUAGGCGGUUUGUCGCGUCUGCUGUGAAAACCCGAGGCUCAACCUCGGGCCUGCAGUGGGUACGGGCAGACUAGAGUGCGGUAGGGGAGAUUGGAAUUCCUGGUGUAGCGGUGGAAUGCGCAGAUAUCAGGAGGAACACCAAUGGCGAAGGCAGAUCUCUGGGCCGUAACUGACGCUGAGGAGCGAAAGCAUGGGGAGCGAACAGG